UGGGGUCGGGGUUGGCUCUGGCACUUCUGUCUGCUGUUUCUGUUGUUCUUGCUUUGGUACCUGCAGCGGACCCACGGGAUGCAACCAAGGCUUCUCUGAGUCCGAGUACCUCCCCCACCCACGGAGGACCAAGGUGACCGAGCAGGUCGUGCAAAGCAGAGGGGCUGGGCACGACUUCCUAAGGGCACACCUGCAGAAGGAAGGCUAGUCAGUGCCAAAGGUGAUUUGACAAUGACCAGCUCCUAAUGUCAAUGGUUGGUGAUGACAGGAAACUAGCUGGGACUCCUAUUCCUAAAGUACAUCUAGAGCAGAGAUCUGGCCUCAGACUGGCUAAGGCGAGUUGUGCAGGCUGGGCAGCUAGCAUCCUCUGCUGGCCAUCAGUGGAAACUGUAUGUUUGGACAUCUCUUCUAUACUACCUGAAGAACAGAGAUGACACUGAGCACCAUUCAGCAGGGGCCUGACAUGCAGGCCCUGGGGAGCUCCCAAACCUUGCGUGAGUGGGGUCUGACACUGGAGAAUCCCCGAGAUUAAGAGUGCGUGGACACCCAGCCUGGCUUUCCCGCUGGAAAACGUUGCCGAGUCUGCGAGCCUCAAGAGGACACUGACUUCUUGAGGGGUGGUGAAGACGGCUGGUGGGCGGGGAGACCCAACCCCAUCUCCAGUGGCUGCGGUGAACUCAAGAUAGGGUGGUGAAGACGGCUGGUGGGCGGGGAGACCCAACCCCAUCUCCAGUGGCAGCGGUGAACUCAAGAUAAGGUUAAGGGGCUGGCCCCAGGACACACAGGCCAACUGCCUGGGGGAGAUCAAGGCAACUAGGCCAAGUGGCCCCGGCCUCUGCCUUUAGGGGCAACGAGUGUUGGUGGUGUGGGACACUGUUGAGAAAGUAAAUCUCUACUUUUUUUGGCCUGGAUGAUGGGGCUCUGCCCCCCUUCCCCUCCCCGUCGGCUACUGCAUGGCCUGCGGGCACACUACUGGCCUGCUGUGCUGUCCACUGCCUGUCUGUACACGGGAGCAGGAAGAAGGUGAGCCUCAAGUUAGGCCCAUACCUUGUUUAACCCCUAUGCUGACACUAGCACCCCACCCCCACCUUAAAGGCUUAAAGAAGAAAGCAAGCGACGCAUUAGACAUCACAGAACCCAUAAGGGCACACAGUCUGUCUCUCUCGUGGUUCUUUCAGACUCUGGGUAUCCCAAGAUCCCCUCUGGAGUUUGGACCCUGGUAAAGCUUUUAGCCUGGAGGGUUGGGGCAUGUGAUUUCACCACACAGAGCGGCACUGUCCUGGCUCUUGGAGCAGGUGUGAGCACUCUGUAAGAUGGUGUGCACGGCACCCUUACUGCUGCGCUCCCCUUUACCAAUCGUUGCUGUACCAUUACCGUUGGGCAGGUUUCCAGGGAUGGGCAGUGCCCAGGCUGCUGGGGAGAGGCAAUCCCAGGCUCCCCACACCUGUAGCCCAUGGGUGAGUCCCCAGAAGUUACUGUUUAAACAGGAGAUGACAGUUGGGGGUGGGUAGGGGCCAGGCCUCAGCACCGAACACGGACAGGCGCAUGCCACAAGGGCCUCUGGAUCAGCCAAAUGGAACCAGCCUGGCGCUGUUUCCAUUCACCUCUCCUCCUAACCCCUCCCUCUUCUUAAGUGCUGGAGCGUACAGAAGCAGGGGCCCUAUAUCCCUGGGUUGGCUCUUGCCCACCCCAUAGUACAGUGACAGGGCUACUUACCAGUUUUCGGAGGGCUCCCUCAUCCAGCCCAGCUAAGGCCUCAUCUGCCAUCAUGCUGGCCUCUAGUUCCUUAACUGUGUCAGCUCCUGGUGGCACUCAGGGGCUUCUGCAAGAGGCAGACAUGAGUUAGAUUGCUGGAGCUUGUAGACACCUCAGUCCCUUGGGUUUUAUGCUGGUUUCCCUCUCCAGCCCAUGAGAAUUUGUUUCUGUCCUAUCCUACCCUGCCAUGCUGAAAAUUCACUAGCCAAGAAUAGGUAGGUGUUCCUGUUCCAGCCUUACCAUUGGCUGCCAGGCUGCUCUGUGGUCUAAGCUGGCAUCCUGACUAAGCCCCAAACAAGGAGGGCAUGGCCCUGGAUUGAGAAAAGGAAUCAGCAAGGUCCACCCAAGCUGUUUACCACCAGGGGGUGCAAGCCAUUCUUUAGCUUCCUGUCACAGCCACUCAUCUUUAGGCUUGCCCAGCCUACCCUCUACCUGCCCUUUCUCCACAAGCCGGGCUUGGGCUGUGGGUUGAGCCCAUGUCCGAGCCUUGCUGCUACUGUCACUCAUCCCGUAGGUACAGGGAGCUACUUGUGUCUUGUCUCACAGCCAGCCUUCUGUGCAUAUCCAUCCUUCUUUCCUCCCUGUGACACCAGCCAGUGUCCAGCUCUCCCUGUCACUUACAAUUCACUUCCCAGCUGACCCACCCAACCUCCGGACUUCAGUCAAACUCAAAGAUUCAUCAUGGGGGCAGUGAAGCUCAGACUCCAAGGGCAGGAAGUCUGAUGCGAUUCCUGGUUACUUCUGCCUUCUGAAGACCCUCCCCAGAAUGCCACCAAGACUCCAGGAUGUUUGUUUCCUGUCCAGUCACUGCCCAUCAAAACGGAUCCCUAAAUCUGUUGUCAGUUUUCUAGCCCAACCCUCCUUCCUGGAACCUGGGAGUCCCUGGAACUAGACGAUCCAAGGCCUAGCACACCUGGGUGUUUAGUUAAUAUGGUGACUGAAAUGGCCUCAGGACCCCCACCUCCUUUGAUUCAUGCCGAAAUCAUCCCUUCUCUCUACAACACUCACUUAGUGUGAGUCACCCCAUCCGGUGAAUGGGUCUGGGGGAGCCCCAAUGCACGCUGAUUGGAGUUUGAAGAACCCGGUCUGUUCAGUUACUGCUUCGAGCUCGCCAACCAUUCUGAGGGUCUUUGCCUCCUGAUCUAGCUACUCUUUCUUGGGCAACUCCUCCUCCCCAGUGUCAUUUAAUGGUCACCAGUCUUAGAUAUUGUGGACAUACUGUGCUCCCUCAUGUAGGCAAGGGUGUUCUAGUACCACUCUGCACAGAAAUCCCAUGGCUUCAUGCUACAGUUUGAGGUCCUGGAGACUGUUACGGCCCUGUGGGAGUGGGGUCAGACCUGGGAAAGCUUCCUGAAGGUAUCAGUUCCCCACAGAUUAGUGUCUCUGGGGAUCGUGGAGCCUUUUCGAGGUCCGUAGGUGCCUUCACCAAGGUCUCGGAACCUUAAUCCUGUGACUUGAAGCUCCCGUAAUUUGGCUGGGGCUUCGGGACCCGGGAGUUCCAGAAUCCCUGUCUAGAUACCCUGGUUUCACCACCCCACCCUCCGGACUCAUCUUGGCUCCUAGGGUCUCCCCGAGACACUCACACCCACCUCUCAGUCCGACCCUUUCUUCCGUGCGGGUUCCUGUUAGUUUGAUCGUGACCCGGCAGACGCAGAGAAGACAGGCGGGCGGGCGGGAGGCACCGCAGCCCGGGAUCCCAAGCCGGUUCAGCAACGUCCCCUGGACUCUGCGGCAGACGCUUGUCCCGCGGCGCCAGCCAGCUGGAUGGCCCCGCCCUAACAAGCCGUCCCAGCCAAUUCCCUGUUGGGUCCUGCCCCUGCUUGGGUCCUAUUGGGAAAAUUCAAUUUUUUAGGUCCCGCCCCCACUAAACUCCAGCCCCACACUGUCCUGGAAUGUUGGGUAUUGUAGUCUUUGGGGCUUCUGCCGCGGUGUCCUUGACCUCCUCGGGUGGGCUUCGGCAGGACGCAGGCUCGAAGCCGAAGUCCAGGAGGGUGCCACAAGGCGGGCAAACAGCCCGGGAUCAUGUAAGCCCCCAGAGGUCCGGACAGCCCCUCCCCUCCCUCUUUGUUCCCGAGACCACAUCCUUUCUCCGGGCUCCACCCACUCCUGGCUCCAGUACACAGGCUUGCUCCGCCGAGGCUCACAGAGCGCUUUCGCGACAGCUGGUCUUUGCCGUCCCAGGGAAAGCACUGGGUGACCAGCAGCAUCUUGACCUUGUGCCGAGUCGCCAAGGACCCCCUGAGACGGAACAGGAUCGACAUGUCGGUAGAUCUGAUCCGCCCACCACACAAAAUAACAUCAAUCCUGGCACGUAUUGAGCACCUACUGUGUACUCUUUAGUUGUUUAAGCCUGGAUACAGUUCUGUCAAGUAGGUGCUGGGAUAUAUGUCCAUUUUACAGAACAAAAACAACUGAAGUUUAGAGACUGGAAGAUCCUUAUCCAAUUUGACAUAGCAAGCUGAUGGAGGACCGGCGUUUGAAAGCAGAUGUGUGGGUUUUCUCCUUCAGCAGAUCCACGAACCUUUAACGGAUGGGUGAAGAGCCAUACAUGGGAAGGCAGACGGUUGCCUUGCAAGCUCUG
Molecule: long non-coding RNA, 4336 nt
Organism: Mesocricetus auratus (golden hamster)
Lineage: Eukaryota; Metazoa; Chordata; Mammalia; Rodentia; Cricetidae
Exons: 3
Source: RefSeq, a predicted model, not a curated record